RNAcentral lists this ribosomal RNA (638 nucleotides) under uncultured bacterium. Its description in RNAcentral is "bacterial SSU rRNA". It matches the Rfam family "Bacterial small subunit ribosomal RNA", at positions 336 to 965 of the family's 1533-position model. The record is from RNAcentral.
CUCCUACGGGAGGCAGCAGUGGGGAAUAUUGGACAAUGGGCGCAAGCCUGAUCCAGCCAUGCCGCGUGUGUGAAGAAGGCCUUUUGGUUGUAAAGCACUUUAAGCGGGGAGGAGGCAACUUGGGUUAAUACCCCGAUGUUGCGGACGUUACCCGCAGAAUAAGCACCGGCUAACUCUGUGCCAGCAGCCGCGGUAAUACAGAGGGUGCGAGCGUUAAUCGGAAUUACUGGGCGUAAAGCGCGCGUAGGCGGCUUGUUAAGUCGGAUGUGAAAUCCCUGGGCUCAACCUAGGAACUGCAUUCGAUACUGGCAAGCUAGAGUGUGGGAGAGGAAGGUAGAAUUCCAGGUGUAGCGGUGAAAUGCGUAGAGAUCUGGAGGAAUACCGAUGGCGAAGGCAGCCUUCUGGCCUAACACUGACGCUGAGGUGCGAAAGCAUGGGGAGCAAACAGGAUUAGAUACCCUGGUAGUCCAUGCCGUAAACGAUGUCAACUAGCCGUUGGGCCCCUUGAGGGUUUAGUGGCGCAGCUAACGCGAUAAGUUGACCGCCUGGGGAGUACGGCCGCAAGGUUAAAACUCAAAUGAAUUGACGGGGGCCCGCACAAGCGGUGGAGCAUGUGGUUUAAUUCGAUGCAACGCGAA